Molecule: non-coding RNA, 5899 nt
Organism: Phasianus colchicus (ring-necked pheasant)
Lineage: Eukaryota; Metazoa; Chordata; Aves; Galliformes; Phasianidae
Source: RefSeq, a predicted model, not a curated record
UUCGUUUGCAGCAGCCAGCAGAAGAACACAUGGAACUACACUGCACAACAAACUGUUGUGACAUGAGGAUGGGCUGUCCCGACAUGAAGAUGGGCUGUCGUGACAUGAGGAUGGGCUGUCGUGACAUGAGGAUGCUGUCACAACACGCCAAGUUUCUGGGUGCAGGUGGGAGCUGUCCAGCAGGGCCUGGAGCUGCAGGGGCUCCCAGCUGCUGCUCUGCCUCACAUCCUGGGAGCCACCGACUCUGUUCUGCUGCACCAGGCAAACACCAGGGGUUGGUUUCAUCUCCUGUAAAAGCAAGAGAAACGGUGUGCAGUGAGUCCUCCCUUCUUUAUGAGCACACACACACACACACACGGUUUGUGGCCUCGGUGUUGGUGCCAAACAAGCUCAGCACAGCUGUGGCAGCCCUCCAUCCCUGCUGGAAAGGAAGCACCCACCUGCACAGGUCACUGUGGGAAACACAAAACUGAUCGUAUAGGGAUUUGUUUAAGGCUGCAUCGUAUCCCUUACAUGAAAGCAGUAUCUGUAGGAGCACUCUUUAUUCCUUUCCUGCAGGGCUUUCUUGAGUAUCUUUUUUCCCAUCUGUGUUUUAGGACCCUUCCCAUUUCACCUCUUACUGAUAAACCAUUAGGCUGAAGAGCAAAAAGCAACACAACUGCUCCUCCAUUUGUCCGGUCAGAGACUGAAGGAAGCUAUAUGUGAUGGAAUUCAGCAAAGUAUUGUGUCACACCCCAAAAUUUAAACUGCUUCCACCAGGAUUGCGGAUAUGCACAAUGUUGGGCAUGCACACAAGUAGCUUGUCAAAUGGUGGCCUAAAAUGACGUGCUAUUUGUCAGUAUAAAUUCUACUUUAACACUUAUUCUGGACCACCAUGGUAAAAUAAAUCAUUAUCUUUGCCACUUAGUACUAAUGAAAAACAAUAUUAUCGGUAUUUCUUCUAUAGCAAUUCACUCAAAGAGAAAUGCUGUGCAAUUACAGGGGGUGGCUAACCAUGCCUCUUGAUCAACCUGAUAAUUAAUCGGAAUAGAAGAAAAAGCCCUGUAUUUCUGAGUGCUGAUCAGGCAGCAAAGGCACUCCAAACAUCUGAAGAAAAAACAGUUUGUUAAUUGCUGUCUAGACAGUUUAUUGCUGCAAUAAGAUCAAAACACAGAAUACUGAGGUUUGGGGUAUGAAUCAUGCAGACUAAACAAUUGUUUUAUUGCAUUUACAGAGCACUUGAUUUAUAAUGCAGUCAGUUUGGUAAUAAAAUUCCUCUAUUGUAUAUCCUGAAUAAUUUCACCUCUUUCUGCAUCUUUCUGUUUUAAUUCUUUAUCAGGAUGUUUUAAAAAUAUCCUUAUGGAGGGCAGAUUACUGUUGUGUACGUAUAAAGUUACCCAUCUCAGACCUCAGUUAUAUCAUCACUGAGCAUACAGUGCUCAGCUGAGCCUUUGUCAGCUGCUGGAACUAAGGACACAUUGAAGAACAGAUUUAUUGGGCUGCUGUGUGCAGUGAGCACACUAGAGGAGAAGUAAGACUGUCCCAUUGCAAGAGGUUUCAUUCUACUUCAUGCUGAACUAAAAGGAAUUGUUCAGGCAAGUGACUUUUUUUCUUUGAUACUUAUUACUCUGCAAAACAUUUUUCCUGAAAGGAAUGAUUCAUCUCUCUUCUUGUGUGAGUACCUCUGGAAGACCACAGUUUAAGGGGAUUUUCCCAGAAACCCAGAAACUACUGGGAUGAAGUAAGUUACUCUUGUCUUCAGUGAGUGCUGAAGUGAGAUAAGGGAAUAGCUGCAUGAAACUGAGUCUGCACAGUAUGCCAAUUUUCCAGGGAACAUAAAGUGUUGUUGCCUAUGUCUUUAUAUAAGAAAACUUUGUAUUGUUUUCCAUUUCUCAGUUUUGUGAUCAUUGUGAUCAUCCCAGUGUCCAUGAGAUGCAAAGACAAAACGAAUUGGAGUGUAGUUUUGGAGUGAAAUCAAACCAAAGAUCCCACGUAGGGCAGGACCAACUUUUCUGGGUAUCCUGAACACAUGAGGAGACAAAUCUGCAGAGACAGCUGGAGGAGCACAGGGGAUGGUGUGCAGCACCGAGGAGGAGCUGGCAUGAGAAAAGCACCAAGAGCCAUGGCUGUGAGCAUGAACCCAGGACUGCCCACCUCCAGGCUCCUCACAGCAGGGCACUGCCACUUCCAGGUGGAGCCACGACAGGACAGAUGUGGGAACACAACCUGAGCCUUCAGCAUCCUCUGCUCCCAAGCACUUUGCAGCCCAGCCUCCGGUGUCUGUUAAGCCCUCCCUUCUGUUCUCUGCAAAAAACAGCAACGAGGGAGAGGGACCCCCAUUCGUGUGCCGACCUCAGAAAGUUUGAGAACGACACCAGGCCUCAUCCAGUGCUCGCAGGGUCUGAGCAAAGCCCCGCACAUAAAACCGCCGCGUUAUUCCUUUUCACGGAGCCGCUGAUCCAUGACGCUGGAAGUAUUUUAAAGACAUUGACCCAGAGUCUCAGUAAUGGAGCUGGGGGUGGUAGAAAUGCCCGGUCUGUUCCUAUAUCUGCAGUUUAGGUUAUGUGAUCUUCCCGUGCUGCUUCAAAACCACAGAACACUGUGGGGGUGUUUGUGAAUUUGCACAACUCUUAUACUGCACCAUUGUAUGGUAAGUUAUAGUGGAGCCUCUCCUGAGCUCAUUAACAAAAGCCCAUUGUGUGAGGGUGUUAUGCCCCACGUGCUCAGCCCGGGACAUGUACGUGUCUCACGAAAGUACUGGGGAUCUUGCAUGAGAACUGCUUUCUAGUAUUUCUGCUUGGACUUUAAUGACAUUUGUGCAGGUGCACAGCUUGUAAAAGGAAUCUUUUUCAAUUCAGCUGUAGCAGCCAUUCCUAGCAAAGCUGGAUUUUUAGAAGCAGCCUCCAGAAUUGUUGCUGCAUCACUUAGUUUUACUCCUUAUUAUUUGCUAAGGCUGUGCUCGAGUGUAUUUCCAGUAAAUAGGGUAUUUCUGUGCGUGGCUGGGAGAAGGCUUGUGCCCCUCCAUGAAACCUAAAUCAAGUCCAGGGCAACUGCAAGGGAGGAUGCGUGCAGACACAAAUAAGCUCUUUUCAGCACAAUGCUGCUUCACAUUAGUAGACGAUUAAGUUUUAUUGCAAGAUCAAACCCUUUGUGUCAUCAGUGUACCUGACUGUGUUUGAUAUAACUUGAUAAGAGCUGAAGGUGUAAGUGGCAGGUGUGACCAUGCUUCCAUGACAGAAGAGACUGGCAACAGAUCCAGAAAUGGAUCACAGGUCGGUAGAUCAGCACUAAAAGGACUGUGGGGAAAAAAAAGUGCAGGGGUUUCUGUGCUGCUGGCAGCCAUCGCUGCCCCACCAGUCCCUGUGCAGUGCAGCUGCAGAUUUCUGGGAGCCCCCCGUGCUGCGGCCAUGGCAGUGGGGCAGUGGGGCUGCCCAGCAGUGCUUUGCAGGGCCGGCAUGGUGCACCCCUCCCCCCUCCUAAAUCCUGCAGGGCUCAAGCUUAUUUGUACAACAAACAAGGCCUGACUGGAGUUUACCGUGCAGAAUUGUGCCUCUCUAAUAUCAUUCAGCUGCGUGCGUAUUUCAUUGCAAAGAAAAUAGAGCAAGGACUUCCAUGAGGUUCCUUCAUUGGUGGCCAUUGCAUUGAUGCUAAUUGCUCAUUUGAAUUCUUCACGUGUAAAGAAGCUUGUUGGGCAGGGUUCUGAAAAAAUGUCCAUCAGCAGCCACUCAUUAAAGUACUCAGAGUUACAGGCACGAGUGGGAUCAGAGUCACCACUUCUAGUUUCUGUCACACAGGCACCAACCCUUUAUAAAUCAUUAAUUUCCAGACUGUUUAUUAUCCGGGGGAAGUAACAAAGCAGUAGUAUCACAUAACACAUCCUAAGAAUGCCUUGUUCAUUUUAAGAGCAAAUAAAACUGAAUAGCACCAAGUUGUUAGUGAUGCAGCCUAUGAGACGGAGCAGAAAGACAAAAAGGGGGAUGAAUCAGGCUGGGGCCACAGAACAAACAAGGGAAUGGGUCAAAAAAGCCCUUGUGCUAGAGAGCCUCCACGUCCCGUAUCUCCACACAGAUGCUGUUUGUUUGCUACCAGGUGGAAAUUGGCUCUGCUGGCUGCGCUGGGACAGCACGACAGUGCAAUGGGUGGGAAGAUUUCCCCAGCUGCUGUUGCCAUCCAUCGGCGCUCUCACAGGAAUGAUUUAGCUCCUGUCCAUGGGCAGGGAGCAGCGCGUUUCAAAAAAUAAUAAUCAAAAUUAAUUACUUUGCCAAGAAAGCAAACCGCUGUUGUUUUGCUUACAAGCCCCCUUCUGUAAUGCGUUGCUCACAUGUUGCUCAGGGUGUGAGGAGGAGCUGACAUUUAUGUUUGUGUCAGCUGUGCCACAGAGCUGCAGUGCGGGGCGGGGGGUGAAUGGGACCCAGUUCGUAGUGCUCACGGGGCAGUGCUGAGCUGUGCCCAUCACUUAUUCCUCCCAGUUCUGCUAGUAGCAGCAAUGCCCGGCGCUGUCAGGCCUCGCAAGCACAGACCGUGUUGGCUUCUUCUCAGCUUAGCUUAAAGCCAUCCCUGGUUUUGGAGGUACAAAGCUCUUUUCUGGCCAGCAUUACUGAGCUUACACUGGGCUGGCUUUUUUGCUCGCCUCAUUCAGCAGUCAAGUAUUGCACUUCUGAAGGUGAUGCUAACUGCAGCGCAGGCCUCCGAGACGAUUAUGGUCCAUGUGUUACUUAUUUUAGUCUCUUAAAGUUCCAAAACACUCCAUUUUUACAGUCGCUAUUUGAAGUUAUUGUUAGUUACAAAAUAUUAGAAACAUAGUUUCAUCUAUAAAAUGCAUAAUUAAUUUAAUCUUUACCAUAUUUUGUUUUACAUCGUACAGGAAGCAGUUUAGUCUGAUGAGUACCACAGGCGUGUAAUUAGUGCUAUAUACAGUAAACUUGAUUAUAACUUAUACUGUCCACCCUGGCUCCAAAAAUCCUUGCAGAUUUUCAUUCAGUUGCUGCCCUCUCUCUGAAUGAAAGCUUUUCAGUUCAGCCACAAUCAUUCAGACCACACCGGUACCUUUCCAUAGGUCGGAUGUGGUGGCAGUUCUAACACAGGAGUUAGUGGGAAAGUCUCCAAUUAGGCAUUUGCUCUGUGUUUAGCAUCUACCAGAGUUUAAAUGCUGACCAUCUGAUUUCUUAAGCUGAGGUUUGCCUAAGUCAGGGUUUAAUGGGCAUCAGGACUGCGAGAGAAAAGGAAAGAGAAAAUGCUUCUGAGGAAUUUCUGAAUUUCAGAGAGAAGGAGACACCUGCCCUGGCUGAAUGAAAGGCCCCUUACGUGCUUAUCUCCAACUGCCAACACUCAAACACCUUUAAAAAUCAGGCAGGAUGCUGAUUUCUUUUUUUUUUAAUGCUUAAAUGCAUAACAGCAAAUCCAUUAAAAAAUCUCCUUGCUCCUUUGAUUUGUUCUUUCCAUUGGCUGAGAAUCUUUGGCAAUGGAUGCACCUCUGAGGGAUCUGCCCUUGGUAGCUUUGGCUGAAGAUGACUGAGGUGUAGCAGCAGCUUUAGGGCAUCUAACAAAGCGCUCCUGCCAUGAGCUCCUGCUUCUGGGUGAGGCAUCCCUGGUGGGAGAGCAGUGCCCAUGGGGGCAACGGGCUGCUGCGCGCGGGGGGGCCUCGCCAGGAGGAGGGGCAGCAGGGGAGCGGGGCAGGCCAUCCAUUCUCCUAUUACAGGCCAUCCCUGUGUUUAUAUCAUCUUGUUUAGCUUACUCCUAAUGCACAUCCUAAGACGUACCUCUAAUACACAUCCUAAGACAUGUUUAUGAAAAUUCUUUAUAAGCAAAAUAUUUUACUUCCAUGGAGGAAGUUCAGAUACAGAGCAGCCUCAGCGCCGCGCGGUCCCACAUUGCUCCUGCCCUCCCUGUGCAUCUUUUCCUGAAAAAUUCAGCCUCCAGC